Molecule: long non-coding RNA, 418 nt
Organism: Manacus vitellinus (golden-collared manakin)
Lineage: Eukaryota; Metazoa; Chordata; Aves; Passeriformes; Pipridae
Exons: 3
Source: RefSeq, a predicted model, not a curated record
CAUCAACCCUGUCACAUGGUGUCCUGAGAACUGGGACUGACAUCAGCCACGUUGCUGAGAUCCAUCACCAUUGAAGUGCAGUCAUAGAUUUUUUGGAGCUGAAGCUCCAGCACUCAGCACUUACAUGGAAAAGGAGAAUCCUACAAAUAUACAAAAUAGCCCAUAUGCUAAAGAUACAUGGCCACGUGGAGCAGUCUCACUCUUCGACUCUCACUUAUUGGACUAAAAGAGAACACAAGCAGGUAACUGAAUGAAGAAGAUAACCUUGGCCAUAAUGUGAUAAAGACUCAGACAUAAAACCCUGACAGAACAGGAACCAGUGAUGCAAUCUGAGAUGGAUGUUAAUGAACAAGAAAAAAAAAUUAUAUGUGAAAAGAAGAGAAAAAAAGUCUGAUCAUAAUAGCACCAAAGUAAUUAU